RNAcentral lists this ribosomal RNA (459 nucleotides) under uncultured bacterium. RNAcentral describes it as "partial 16S ribosomal RNA". It matches the Rfam family "Bacterial small subunit ribosomal RNA", at positions 338 to 795 of the family's 1533-position model. The record is from RNAcentral.
CCUACGGGAGGCAGCAGUGAGGAAUAUUGGUCAAUGGGCGGGAGCCUGAACCAGCCAAGCCGCGUGAGGGAAGAAGGUACAGCGUAUCGUAAACCUCUUUUGUCAGGGAACAAAGGCGGGGACUAGUCCCCGGAUGAGGGUACCUGAAGAAAAAGCAUUGGCUAACUCCGUGCCAGCAGCCGCGGUAAUACGGAGGAUGCGAGCGUUAUCCGGAUUUAUGGGGUUUAAAGGGUGCGCAGGCGGCCUGUUAAGUCAGCGGUAAAAGCCCGGGGCUCAACCCCGGCGAGCCGUUGAAACUGGCGGGCUGGAGUUGGAGAGAAGUACGCGGAAUGCGCGGUGUAGCGGUGAAAUGCUUAGAUAGCGCGCAGAACCCCGAUUGCGAAGGCAGCGUACCGGCUCCACACUGACGCUGAGGCACGAAAGCGUGGGUAUCGAACAGGAUUAGAUACCCCAGUAGUC